GCACGCAUAGCUCAAUUGGAUAGAGCAUCUGACUACGGAUCAGAAGGUUCCAGGUUCAACUCCUGGUGCGUGCACCA
This 77-nucleotide transfer RNA is filed under the name Pedosphaera sp. RNAcentral's name for it is "tRNA-Arg". It matches the Rfam family "tRNA". From Rfam's summary of the family: Transfer RNA (tRNA) molecules are approximately 80 nucleotides in length. RNAcentral also lists the same sequence under 6 other names. Lineage: Bacteria; Pseudomonadati; Verrucomicrobiota; Pedosphaerae; Pedosphaerales; Pedosphaeraceae. The record is from RNAcentral.